GACGAACGCUGGCGGCGUGCCUAAUACAUGCAAGUCGAGCGGAACUGGGGGAGCUUGCUCCUUCCAGUUUAGCGGCGGACGGGUGAGUAACACGUGGGCAACCUGCCCUGCAGAUCGGGAUAACUCCGGGAAACCGGUGCUAAUACCGAAUAGUUUGGCGCCUCUCCUGAGGCGCCACGGAAAGACGGUUUCGGCUGUCACUGCAGGAUGGGCCCGCGGCGCAUUAGCUAGUUGGUGGGGUAACGGCCCACCAAGGCGACGAUGCGUAGCCGACCUGAGAGGGUGAUCGGCCACACUGGGACUGAGACACGGCCCAGACUCCUACGGGAGGCAGCAGUAGGGAAUCUUCCGCAAUGGACGCAAGUCUGACGGAGCGACGCCGCGUGAGUGACGAAGGUUUUCGGAUCGUAAAACUCUGUUGUGAGGGAAGAACACGUACCAACUAACUAUUGGUACCUUGACGGUACCUCACCAGAAAGCCACGGCUAACUACGUGCCAGCAGCCGCAGUAA
RNAcentral lists this ribosomal RNA (512 nucleotides) under uncultured bacterium. Its description in RNAcentral is "partial 16S ribosomal RNA". It matches the Rfam family "Bacterial small subunit ribosomal RNA", at positions 28 to 523 of the family's 1533-position model. The record is from RNAcentral.